Molecule: long non-coding RNA, 1059 nt
Filed under: Felis catus (domestic cat)
Lineage: Eukaryota; Metazoa; Chordata; Mammalia; Carnivora; Felidae
Description: lncRNA (ENSFCAG00000052712.1)
Source: RNAcentral
AUGAGGAUGAAUUUGAUCUGCUUCUAUAAUUAUUCAUUACAAAUACUGACGUUCUCGAAACAUCCCAAGUAUUCCAUACAUACUCCCCCACGGUGGGGGGUGGGUGGGGGGAGCAUAUGCCGAGCAAACAGUUUCCACCCAGUGGAGAGGAUACGGAUCCACACCGCCCCUCACUUCGUGCUCCGCGUUCUGAACCAAAGAGAUGCCAGACGAGAUGAGAAUAUUAGCUUCAUCAGCGGCCAAAGCUCCUUGGAGAUCUGGCUUGAGAUCUCGGCCAGGUGGGCUCCCAAUUCUUGGCCACCGAACCAGCAGACAUCCUUCGGGCCAGGCGCAGAGCUGGACGCGCACAAGGCUUCGCCUUUCGGGGCUGGCUCUCGCCGCAGGACGGGUCCCCAGACUGGAACACACUUGUCGGCAGGCAGUGGAGGAGGCUCAAGAGGGAGGGUGAGAGGAGCUGGGCUGAAGUGCCCACGUCCUUCCGCGGGAGUCGCCCAGGAGCCACGGCUCCGCUCCCUGCCGGGGAGAUCCGUGAGUGACAGGUGGGAGGCAAGGGGGCUAGCGGUCCCCAGUCCUCCCCUACACGCACCCGAGAAUCGCCUGGUGUCCCUGCAAAGCACAGAGGCCCACCCACUACCGACUGGAUGGACGGAGGUGGAAACGAGGCGCCAGCACUCUCAAAGCCCCCAGGCGACUCUGAUGUGCAGCCAGCGUCGAGGACCAGCUCGGGCUGAGGUCCACCCGCGAGGAAGCCUGGGGCGUGGGGACCCAAUGGCCAGAGAAGGCGGGGACCCGGUGGUGGUCCCGGAGAUGACUCUGGGGGGCUCUGUUAUCCGUUCUUCCUGUCCCACCAGGACCAUCCACCUUCUGAACCUUCUAAGGAUCAGGCCGGUGACCUCCGCCCCUGUCUGCACUGGUCUGACCCCGCAGCUCUCGGCGAGCCUGGGCGCGGGCGCUACACGUGAACAACGGGGGCCAAGACGGGAAGAAGCCCCUUGGAACCCACGUGUUCUCCCAACUCCUUCAAGUCCAGGCCGCGGCAGCAAAACCCAGCAGGCCUGA